GUGCUCACUUCAGCAUCACAUAAACUAAAAUAGAAAUGAUACAUAGAAAAUUAGCAUGACCCCUGUGCAAGGAUGACAUGCAAAUUUGUGAAGCAUUCCAUGAUUUU
Meriones unguiculatus (Mongolian gerbil) is the source of this 107-nucleotide small nuclear RNA. The record is from Ensembl. NCBI's taxonomy places the organism in Eukaryota, Metazoa, Chordata, Mammalia, Rodentia, Muridae.